Molecule: long non-coding RNA, 544 nt
Organism: Panthera uncia (snow leopard)
Lineage: Eukaryota; Metazoa; Chordata; Mammalia; Carnivora; Felidae
Exons: 2
Source: RefSeq, a predicted model, not a curated record
GUCACUGUGGAAAACUGCCCCUCGGCCAAGAAAGACCAGAGACUCAAUACCAUGGGCAUCGAGAUUGAGAGACUCAGAAAGACUCACUCAUCCUAUUUAAGUUUGCAGUCCACAAUAUAAACAAGGACUACCGACUUAUUCAUUCAUAAGAGAAAUUUAACUGCCAAGCUGGAGGACAAGUGAUUAGUGAAAACAAAGGGAGAGUGUCCUGAGGACGAUUUCAUCUUUGUUAAGGAGAGCCUUGACAAUAGACUCCACCUUAGAGCAGCUGCUUUCUCCCCUUGUGAUGAUCACAGCACAUUUUCCUUGUCAGACUUGUAGUCUGCACCAGGGAGUGCUCAGGAAGGGACAUGGACAAUGUUGGGGAUCUGCCCUUGAGCCUCUGAGCUGUGUGAUGGGUGGAGACGUCACCCCCAAGACACACAACGAAUUCCUCUGGCAGGCGCUUCAGGAAGGCCAUCUGCUUCUGUUGUUCCUCUGACCUUUUGUUGGAACCCACCUGAAAUUGGAAAGAAAUUACCAGAAUAAAACUAAGCCUAAGGCA